Molecule: ribosomal RNA, 440 nt
Filed under: uncultured bacterium
Lineage: Bacteria
Description: partial 16S ribosomal RNA
Rfam family: Bacterial small subunit ribosomal RNA
Source: RNAcentral
CCUACGGGCGGCAGCAGUGGGGGAUAUUGCACAAUGGGGGAAACCCUGAUGCAGCGACGCCGCGUGUGGGCAGACGGUCCUCUGGAUUGUAAACCACUGUCCCCAGGGACGAAGAUGACGGUACCUGGGGAGGAAGCUCCGGCUAACUCCGUGCCAGCAGCCGCGGUAAUACGGAGGAUGCGAGCGUUAUCCGGAUUUAUUGGGUUUAAAGGGUGCGCAGGCGGUCUGUUAAGUCAGCGGUCAAAGCCCGGGGCUCAACCCCGGCCCGCCGUUGAAACUGGCAGUCUCGAGUUGGAGAGAAGUAUGCGGAAUGCGCGGUGUAGCGGUGAAAGGCAUAGAUAUCGCGCAGAACUCCGAUUGCGAAGGCAGCAUGCCGGCUCCACACUGACGCUGAGGCACGAAAGCGUGGGUAUCGAACAGGAUUAGAUACCCCAGUAGUC